AAAAAUUGCAUGUUUUUUCAUUUGGUUUUUGAGUUACAAUUAUGAGUAUUUUUCUUAGUUCUCUUGACUAAAAGUCUUGUGGUGUGAUGUGAAAAAUUUGUUGUGCAUUUUUAGUAUGAUAGAAAUGUCUAAACUCUAAAUUGUACAUCAUUUGUGGUAGAUCAAUUAACCUUGUGAGAUUUUGAGCCUUAUAUGGAUAACAUACAAAAAUC
This 212-nucleotide long non-coding RNA is filed under the name Lathyrus oleraceus (garden pea). RNAcentral describes it as "Pisum sativum (pea) long non-coding RNA (PSAT_LNC039752)". The record is from RNAcentral. Lineage: Eukaryota; Viridiplantae; Streptophyta; Magnoliopsida; Fabales; Fabaceae.